RNAcentral lists this transfer RNA (74 nucleotides) under Clostridiales bacterium. Its description in RNAcentral is "tRNA-Gln". It matches the Rfam family "tRNA". From Rfam's summary of the family: Transfer RNA (tRNA) molecules are approximately 80 nucleotides in length. Their secondary structure includes four short double-helical elements and three loops (D, anti-codon, and T loops). Lineage: Bacteria; Bacillati; Bacillota; Clostridia; Eubacteriales. RNAcentral also lists the same sequence under 2 other names. The record is from RNAcentral.
UGCGGAAUGGUGUAACGGUAGCACAUGUGACUCUGACUCAUAGAGCCUAGGUUCGAAUCCUAGUUCCGCAGCCA